GCUUCUUUGACUCACCUCUCUCAAAUUCUAGAGAGAGAACAAACACAAAUUCUAGAGAGAGAGAGAGAGAGGGGGCAUAGGAAGAUCCUAAAGUUCCACAUUGAUUGGAGAUAGAGUAUUGAAAGAGAAUAUAUAGAGAGACAUUUUUCACCUUACCAACUGAUUUUGUAAGAAUGAGUUAGGUCAAACUCUAAUAAUAUUUUUGGUGAUAGGGAGAGGUUCCUGCAUCUAUAAACUGUAGACUGCUUGAGCAUCAGAGAGUGAGAGUGAAGUUUCUGUAUGGAGGCAUCCUUGGAGUGUGUAUGAAAAAUUUACAAUAUUGAUGUGAGUUACACAUUUUCCUUUUUUAUUUACUCCCUCCGGUUAUUUUUUGCGCUAUAAUACUUCCAUAGAUAUAUUGAUAU
Molecule: long non-coding RNA, 404 nt
Organism: Vicia villosa (hairy vetch)
Lineage: Eukaryota; Viridiplantae; Streptophyta; Magnoliopsida; Fabales; Fabaceae
Exons: 3
Source: RefSeq, a predicted model, not a curated record